This 460-nucleotide ribosomal RNA is filed under the name uncultured bacterium. RNAcentral describes it as "partial 16S ribosomal RNA". It matches the Rfam family "Bacterial small subunit ribosomal RNA", at positions 338 to 795 of the family's 1533-position model. The record is from RNAcentral.
CCUACGGGAGGCAGCAGUGAGGAAUAUUGGUCAAUGGGCGAAAGUCUGAACCAGCCAAGUAGCGUGAAGGAUGACUGCCCUAUGGGUUGUAAACUUCUUUUGUAUGGGAGUAAAAUGUUCCACGUGUGGGAGUUUGUAUGUACCAUAUGAAUAAGGAUCGGCUAACUCCGUGCCAGCAGCCGCGGUAAUACGGAGGAUCCGAGCGUUAUCCGGAUUUAUUGGGUUUAAAGGGAGAGUAGGUGGAUUGUUAAGUCAGUUGUGAAAGUGUGCGGCUCAACCGUAAAAUUGCAGUUGAAACUGGCAGUCUUGAGUACAGGAGAGGUGGGCGGAAUUCGUGGUGUAGCGGUGAAAUGCUUAGAUAUCACGAAGAACUCCGAUGGCGAAGGCAGCUCACUGGACUGCAACUGACACUGAGGCUCGAAAGUGUGGGUAUCAAACAGGAUUAGAUACCCCUGUAGUC